GAGGCCAAUGAAACGUGAAGCCAACCCAAAACCCAGAGGCGCAAUGAAACGUGAAGGCGCGGCCUCGUGCCGUGCCGAGUUGCGAUCCCGGGCCGCCCAGGGGUCCGAUGAAGGGAGCAGCAACGGCCCGCCCCACACGCUCACGUCGUGGGGGCGGCGCUAGAGCGCACACGUUGGCACCCGAAAGAUGGUGAACUAUGCCCGGGCAGGACGAGGCCAGAGGAAACUCUGGUGGAGGUCCGAAGCGCUUCUGACGUGCAAAUCGAUCGUCCGACCCAGGUAUAGGGGCGAAAGACUAAUCGAACCAUCUAGUAGCUGGUUCCCUCCGAAGUUUCCCUCAGGAUAGCUGGCGCUUGUUGCCGAGACCAGUCACACCUGGUAAAGCGAAUGAUUAGAGGCAUUGGGGUCGAAACGACCUCAACCUAUUCUCAAACUUUCAAUGGGUGUGUCGGAGGCCUUCUGGUCUGAGGCCUCCGGAAGCGAUGAGAGUGCCAAGUGGGCCACUUUUGGUAAGCAGAACUGGCGCUGUGGGAUGAACCAAACGCCGGGGUAAGGCGCCCGAUGCGGGACGCUCAUGAGAUCCCAUGAAGGGUGUUGGUUGCUUAAGACAGCAGACGGUGGCCAUGGAAGUCGGAACCCGCUAAGAGUGUGUAACAACUCACCUGCCGAAGCACUAGCCCCGAAAUGGAUGGCGCUCUAGUGUCGAGCCUAUCCCCGGCCGCUGCCGGCAGAUGCACGCAACAAGGGGUGC
Molecule: non-coding RNA, 751 nt
Organism: Ixodes scapularis (black-legged tick)
Lineage: Eukaryota; Metazoa; Arthropoda; Arachnida; Ixodida; Ixodidae
Source: Rfam